CGCGGCCUAUCAGCUUGUUGGUGAGGUAACGGCUCACCAAGGCGACGACGGGUAGCCGGCCUGAGAGGGCGACCGGCCACACUGGGACUGAGACACGGCCCAGACUCCUACGGGAGGCAGCAGUGGGGAAUAUUGCACAAUGGGCGAAAGCCUGAUGCAGCGACGCCGCGUGAGGGAUGACGGCCUUCGGGUUGUAAACCUCUUUCAGCAGGGAAGAAGCGAAAGUGACGGUACCUGCAGAAGAAGCGCCGGCUAACUACGUGCCAGCAGCCGCGGUAAUACGUAGGGCGCAAGCGUUGUCCGGAAUUAUUGGGCGUAAAGAGCUCGUAGGCGGCUUGUCACGUCGGGUGUGAAAGCCCGGGGCUUAACCCCGGGUCUGCAUCCGAUACGGGCAGGCUAGAGUGUGGUAGGGGAGAUCGGAAUUCCUGGUGUAGCGGUGAAAUGCGCAGAUAUCAGGAGGAACACCGGUGGCGAAGGCGGAUCUCUGGGCCAUUACUGACGCUGAGGAGCGAAAGCGUGGGGAGCGAACAGGAUUAGAUACCCUGGUAGUCCACACCGUAAACGUUGGGAACUAGGUGUUGGCGACAUUCCACGUCGUCGGUGCCGCAGCUAACGCAUUAAGUUCCCCGCCUGGGGAGUACGG
This 643-nucleotide ribosomal RNA is filed under the name uncultured Actinomycetes bacterium. RNAcentral's name for it is "bacterial SSU rRNA". It matches the Rfam family "Bacterial small subunit ribosomal RNA", at positions 232 to 885 of the family's 1533-position model. The record is from RNAcentral. Lineage: Bacteria; Bacillati; Actinomycetota; Actinomycetes.